Molecule: ribosomal RNA, 253 nt
Filed under: uncultured bacterium
Lineage: Bacteria
Description: partial 16S ribosomal RNA
Rfam family: Bacterial small subunit ribosomal RNA
Source: RNAcentral
UACGUAGGGUGCGAGCGUUAAUCGGAAUUGCUGGGCGUAAAGCGUGCGCAGGCGGUUCGUUAAGUCAGAUGUGAAAGCCCCGGGCUCAACCUGGGAACUGCAUUUGAAACUGGCGGGCUUGAGUGUGGCAGAGGGGGGUGGAAUUCCGCGUGUAGCAGUGAAAUGCGUAGAGAUGCGGAGGAACACCGAUGGCGAAGGCAGCCCCCUGGGCCAACACUGACGCUCAGGCACGAAAGCGUGGGGAGCAAACAGG